Acanthochromis polyacanthus (spiny chromis) is the source of this 1203-nucleotide long non-coding RNA. RefSeq lists it as uncharacterized. The transcript is spliced from 2 exons. NCBI's taxonomy places the organism in Eukaryota, Metazoa, Chordata, Actinopteri, Pomacentridae. The record is from RefSeq and is a predicted model, not a curated record.
UAUUUAUUUAUUUCUCUUUAUAUUUCCACAUUUAUUUAUUUAAUUAUUUAUUUCUCUUUAUAUUUCCACAUUUAUUUAUUUAUUUAAUUAUUUAUUUAUUUCCCUUUAUAUUUCCUCAGUCCACCAAGAAAAGGAAAAAUGCAAAUCAGUUUGCUCUGGGCGGGGAUUCUGAACACAGGAGUCCUGCCUGACACCAGCUCCCAGCACGGCUGAAGUGAAGCCAUGUCACCGUUGAGCUUCGGCUUAUUCUGCCACUGAUAAGAAAAUAAACAUUAAUUUUCCGAAUUAGCAGCGUCCUUUCAGUGUCUGAUGGCAGAAUCAGCCGAAGCUCCACGGUGACAUGGCUUCACUUCAGCCGUGGUCGGAGCUGGCGUCAGGAAAGAAGCCUGUGUGCGGUAGGACUCCCCACCCUGAAAGGAAGCCCCGCCCAGAGCAAACUGAUUUGCAUUUUUCUAUUUCAUGGUGUCAGGCCAUUAUAAAAUAACCACCAAGAAAUUAAAACGCAAAUCAGUUUGCUUUCACUUGGUGGACUGAGCUGUCAAUCAAAUGGCUCUAGGCGGGGCUUCCUCGUCGUUCCUGAUCACAGGCAUAUGAAGAGUACAUACGACACGCCCCUCUGAGCGGCGUCCCGACGGAGACGCUAAGCGAGUGGGGGCAAAGUUUCAGUGUUUUCCAUUGAUGUGUACGGCACGAAAAUUAAAACAAGAAGAAUGCCGGCUCAUUGUGCGGCAUACAGUUCCACACUACAUCGGACGAUCAAGACAAGGAAACUUGGAAUAACUUUCCACAGGUUUCCCAAAGACUAUGGGCUGAGGAAGAAGUGGAAGCAGCUCUGAGGAGAGAGGGGUUUGCUGCAAGUAUAUAACAGCCUAGAGAGAGAGAUAAAUAAAUAAUAAUUAUUAUUAAUAAUAAUUCUGUUGUUUAUUGUAAUUGUGGUUGUCUUUACGUUGCAUUUAUUGAGAUAAUUUGUCCUUGUUCCUUAUUACUGUAGCAUUGCUGUAACUACCUAUAAUUAUAAAUUUCUAUUCAUAUUUUCACUGUGACUUUUAUAGACGGCGAAUCGUGAUCCAUGCAGGAGUGGAUGGAUUUAGCAGGCUCAUAGUUUACAUAGGAGCAGCUACAAACAACAAAUCCACCACUGUUCAGGUCAGCUGUUGCUCAGUAUGGCUUACCAUCUCGUAUGUUGUGUGAGAGUCCAAAUAA